GAUGAACGCUGGCGGCGUGCCUAAUACAUGCAAGUCGAGCGAACAGAUGAGGAGCUUGCUCCUCUGACGUUAGCGGCGGACGGGUGAGUAACACGUGGAUAACCUACCUAUAAGACUGGGAUAACUUCGGGAAACCGGAGCUAAUACCGGAUAAUAUAUUGAACCGCAUGGUUCAAUAGUGAAAGACGGUUUUGCUGUCACUUAUAGAUGGAUCCGCGCCGCAUUAGCUAGUUGGUAAGGUAACGGCUUACCAAGGCAACGAUGUGUAGCCGACCUGAGAGGGUGAUCGGCCACACUGGAACUGAGACACGGUCCAGACUCCUACGGGAGGCAGCAGUAGGGAAUCUUCCGCAAUGGGCGAAAGCCUGACGGAGCAACGCCGCGUGAGUGAUGAAGGUCUUCGGAUCGUAAAACUCUGUUAUUAGGGAAGAACAAAUGUGUAAGUGACUAUGCACGUCUUGACGGUACCUAAUCAGAAAGCCACGGCUAACUACGUG
This 497-nucleotide ribosomal RNA is filed under the name uncultured bacterium. Its description in RNAcentral is "partial 16S ribosomal RNA". It matches the Rfam family "Bacterial small subunit ribosomal RNA", at positions 28 to 507 of the family's 1533-position model. The record is from RNAcentral.